RNAcentral lists this ribosomal RNA (253 nucleotides) under uncultured bacterium. Its description in RNAcentral is "partial 16S ribosomal RNA". It matches the Rfam family "Bacterial small subunit ribosomal RNA", at positions 524 to 776 of the family's 1533-position model. The record is from RNAcentral.
UACGUAGGGAGCAAGCGUUGUCCGGAAUCAUUGGGCGUAAAGCGCGCGUAGGUGGCCUCGUAAGUCCGCUGUGAAAGUCAAAGGCUCAACCUUUGAAUGUCGAUGGAUACUGCCGGGCUAGAGUCCGGAAGAGGCGAGUGGAAUUCCUGGUGUAGCGGUGGAAUGCGCAGAUAUCAGGAGGAACACCGGUGGCGAAGGCGGUUCUCUGGCCCGGUUCUGACGCUGAGGCGCGAAAGCGUGGGGAGCAAACAGG